Molecule: RNA transcript, 1329 nt
Organism: Amphibalanus amphitrite
Lineage: Eukaryota; Metazoa; Arthropoda; Thecostraca; Balanomorpha; Balanidae
Gene name: cyclin-J-like
Exons: 6
Source: RefSeq, a predicted model, not a curated record
GCCUUUACAGUGACCGGUGACCCUAACACCUGCUGGAGGCGGUCGCUAAUUCUAAAUUCAUAAAACCGUACCGCUCAAGACUAUCUUGAUCUAUGCAUCAGUUUUCCGAGUUGGCACACUAUCAACGAUGUCAUAUCUGAAGAAUUGGUGGGUUACUGACUACGCAGAUGACAUAUUUUCAUAUUUCUUACGGAAAGAAAAGACAGGGAUGACCUUCCGCUGCAGAUCUCCACAACUUGGGGAACGGCGUCGACUGGUGGACAUGCUGAGACUGGUUGGGGAGCGGCUUCAGCUCGGCAACACCUCCGUUCAUCUGGCCGUGAGGCUGCUGGACCUCUUCAUGGACAACCACCGGGUAGAGGUGGCGCACCUCAGCCUGGUGGCUCUCGGCUGUCUCCUGCUGGCCAGUCAGUGACCACUGACCAGUAACGCGGGUCUAGGAUCAGUAGAGCUUCAGCCGAUCCAGUCUUAGGACUUGGCAGCGUACUGAGUUGCUAUCUGCUUUUUUAGAUCGCCUGCAUCACUGACAACCGGGCCACCGGCCGUCACUGCGACGAAGUUCGAGGACCGUGACCUGAAUGUGCCGCAUGUGCCGGAGCUCCAUCGGCUCGUACCGCAUUGCUACCCGCUGAGAGACUACCGUGCAGUCGAGGCCAUCCUGCUGGAGUUCUUCAGCUGGAACCUGUCGCUGGUGACGGUGGCGCACUUCGUCGAGUUUCUGGCGACGCGCGUGCUGGGCCGUGGUGACCUGGUGCGCGGCGCGGAGCUGGUGGGCACCGCCAGCGCGCUGACGCCGCCCCCGGACCACCCGUCGGCAGGGCUGCCGCCUCCGACCUCCGGCGCCCAGGCGCUGCGGAACGCCCUGCUGGAACGGCUGCAGUACUUCAUGGAUCUGGCACUUCAGGACGAGCAGUUCAUGCUGCACCGACCGUCGGUGGUGGCGUGCGCCUGCGUGCUGGCCGCGCGCAGCCGACUGGGCGUGUGGCCAGCCUGGCCGGCCGAGCUGAGCCGCCUCACCGGCUACUCGGACGCCAGCCUGCUCUCCUGUCUACACUCACUCUUCAGGGCCGCGUUUGCUGAUGAGAGGGCUGUCUCCGCGAAGACUGACGAUUGGAGCGGAUCGGAAUGAAGCAGUGAAUUAUAAAAUUGGCAUGAGAAGUGACGCAUGUGCCAGUAUCUAUUGAAUACCAUUUGUAUGCUGUUGCUAUUUAUUACAAGAAGUAUGUCAUUGUUAUUUACUACAAAGAGUGGAUACAUUUCUGCCAUAACUAAGAAAAAAAUAUAACUGGCCACGAGAAAAAUUCAAAGAUCCUCCUGGUCAGAGCACAA